Molecule: ribosomal RNA, 701 nt
Filed under: uncultured Alphaproteobacteria bacterium
Lineage: Bacteria; Pseudomonadati; Pseudomonadota; Alphaproteobacteria
Description: bacterial SSU rRNA
Rfam family: Bacterial small subunit ribosomal RNA
Source: RNAcentral
AACGAACGCUGGCGGCAUGCCUAACACAUGCAAGUCGAACGAGACCUUCGGGUCUAGUGGCGCACGGGUGCGUAACGCGUGGGAACCUGCCUUGAGGUUCGGAAUAACUCUCCGAAAGGGGUGCUAAUACCGGAUGAUGUCUUCGGACCAAAGAUUUAUCGCCUUAAGAUGGGCCCGCGUAGGAUUAGCUAGUUGGUGGGGUAAAGGCCUACCAAGGCGACGAUCCUUAGCUGGUCUUAGAGGAUGAUCAGCCACACUGGGACUGAGACACGGCCCAGACUCCUACGGGAGGCAGCAGUGGGGAAUAUUGGACAAUGGGCGAAAGCCUGAUCCAGCAAUGCCGCGUGAGUGAUGAAGGCCUUAGGGUUGUAAAGCUCUUUUACCCGGGAUGAUAAUGACAGUACCGGGAGAAUAAGCUCCGGCUAACUCCGUGCCAGCAGCCGCGGUAAUACGGAGGGAGCUAGCGUUGUUCGGAAAUACUGGGCGUAAAGCGCACGUAGGCGGCGCCGCAAGUCAGGGGUGAAAUCCCGGGGCUCAACCCCGGAACUGCCCUUGAAACUGCAGUGCUAGAAUCUUGGAGAGGCGAGUGGAAUUCCGAGUGUAGAGGUGAAAUUCGUAGAUAUUCGGAAGAACACCAGUGGCGAAGGCGACUCGCUGGACAAGUAUUGACGCUGAGGUGCGAAAGCGUGGGAGCAAACAGG